This is a non-coding RNA of Delphinapterus leucas (beluga whale), 462 nucleotides long. The record is from RefSeq and is a predicted model, not a curated record. Lineage: Eukaryota; Metazoa; Chordata; Mammalia; Artiodactyla; Monodontidae.
CUGACACGAAGCCACCAGCUAUUGGAAAGAGUCUUUUGAACGAAGGCAUCAUAGGCCCCAUGAGGGGAAGAGGAAGCCGCAAAGAACAUCAGAAUGUGAAAAUAGAAGCAAGAAGAGAAGAUGGAUGGUAGCCUAGGAAGAGGACUUCUGGCCUUGGCUGCGAGUUGGGUGACCUCAGGGGGCAUUCUCUGGGCACAGGAGCAUGCCCUGCCCCUGCACAGGUCAGAUCGGGAGCAACUGAAAAAUAAUGCCUUGGAGUGAUUCUCAGCCAUUGAGUCUUUUAGAUCGACUAAGGACCAAGGAAGAUACUCUUCAAUAUAAUAAUGAGGAAGAACAUUGACUUCCUGGUUUCUGAAUGGUAAGGAUGUUCUUAAGCCAAAGUAUAUAAUUUCUGGAGAACUCAGUAAGUACUUUGUUUAUGGUGACAUUGCCUCCCAAUCAUUUUAAGGUCUAGCUGCCAAA